AUUGAACGCUGGCGGCAGGCCUAACACAUGCAAGUCGAACGGUAACAGGAAUGGUCUUGCUUCUUGGCUGGCGAGUGGCGGGCGGGUGAGUGAUGUCUGGGAAACUGCCUGAUGGAGGGGGAUAAGUACUGGAAACGGUAGCUAAUACCGCAUAACGUCGCAAGACCAAAGAGGGGGACCUUCUGGCCUCUGGCCAUCGGAUGGGCCAAGAUUGGAUUAGCUAGUAGGUGGUGUAACGUCUCACCUAGGCGGCGAUCCCUAGCUGGUCUGAGAGGAUGACUCGGUACCUUGGCAGUGAGAAAGGGCCGAGACUCCUACGGGAGGACGCAGCGGGGACUAUUGCACAAUGGGCGAAAGCGUGAUGCAGCAAUGCCGCGUGUAUGAAGAAGGACUUAGGGUUGUAAAGUAAUGUCAGCGGGGAGGAAGGGAGUCACGUUAAUACCUUUGCUCAUUGACGUUACCCGAAGAAGAAGCACCGGCUAACUUCGUG
This 490-nucleotide ribosomal RNA is filed under the name uncultured bacterium. Its description in RNAcentral is "partial 16S ribosomal RNA". It matches the Rfam family "Bacterial small subunit ribosomal RNA", at positions 30 to 507 of the family's 1533-position model. The record is from RNAcentral.